ACGCCGGGAAUAGGCUGACCUGAAGGAACCACCAAAUUAACCUGUCGAAUACGUACUGGUGCAAGACUAUAAUUGGAGUUUUCAGAUUGCAACUUCUAAUUCACACGUAUGAAUUUCUCAUCCUGGUUUAAAAAGACAUUUUGUUUCUUGGCCAAAAAAUACCCGGCCAGGUUUAACUCGACGAGGUGAACGCACUUUGAGGAGCUUACAUCAUUAAGUGAAACAUUGAUUAAGUUAAACAGUUCAGAAGAUUUACAGAUCUUGAUAAAAAAAAAGUGUAUCCUGCAAACCUGCCAGAACUUUCCGCUUUCUUAACCUUUCAGUGGUUGUAAUUAGAGUGGAGUUAACGGAAAAGAAAAAUUUUCAGAAGCACUGAUUGCAGUAGAAUGGCAUGGUGCCCGGACUUCCUGAUCAGAACUCUAUAUCAAUUGAACAUUAAUAUUAGACAACUUCCUUAAGCACUUUUAUAUAAUGGCCAGUUAUGUGUGGCUACACAAGUCGAUGAAUUUACAUUUAGUAAAUUAAGUAUGUUAUAAAUACAUACUUUAUUAAAAAGAUACAGUAGAACUAUUAAAAAAAAAAGAAAAUUGCAGUAUGAAGACUUAUGAUUUCAAUCUAAUACUUCGGGGAAGGGUUUUAAAAAUUUCGAAAUAUUGUAGAACUUGACUCGCAACAAUCAUUUCCCGCGUAUAUUGCCCUCCACUUUUGGCCCCGAAUGAAGCUGCAUAUUAUUAAAUAACAUUAAAAUUAUUCUUCCAUUUAUCGUUUCUCAAAUUUUCAUUCUGCUGCUUUAAUCGUUUGUGAACCAACCACCUUCGCAGUGCAGCAUUUGCGGACAACUCUUGCACAAGAAUGCCUUUAAACACCUGCGUGUAUGGGCCUGAGGUACUUCUCCAAGCUAUUGCUUGAGCACAUGAUCUUCAGCGUCUGCGUUAUCAGUGUCAUUUCCAAACGUUAUUUCGUUUAAAGUUACAACAAAUUUAUUUCCAUUAAAUGUUAAUUAGUUUAUUCAUGUUGACUUUCGGGAGUUUUAAAGGUAAUUUUUCGUUGGGUAUUGAAGUAACAUGGGGGAAGAAGAUAAAAAUUGACUAAAGAUAGUGCCGAAUUUCAGUGAGACUUAAUAAGCUUUAGGGGAAAAAAGCGUUUUUGAGUGCACAGAAUAGAGGCAACGGGGAACAUGAAAACAUGGUCAGUCUUCAAAAGUCACAUUUUUUAUUUGAGGCAAAAUUUGACCUAAGAACAAUAGACAAUAUAUAACCUUUUUUUUUUAAAUAGCUUGUCAUUAUAGUUUAUUCAAACUAGAAAUAAUAAAUAUUAUUUAUUUACAA
This is a long non-coding RNA of Stegodyphus dumicola, 1328 nucleotides long. The record is from RefSeq and is a predicted model, not a curated record. Lineage: Eukaryota; Metazoa; Arthropoda; Arachnida; Araneae; Eresidae.